Molecule: long non-coding RNA, 3211 nt
Filed under: Olea europaea subsp. europaea
Lineage: Eukaryota; Viridiplantae; Streptophyta; Magnoliopsida; Lamiales; Oleaceae
Source: RNAcentral
UAUAUAUAUAUUUGUGAGUAUAUAACUAGCUAAAGAGUAAUGGUGUCAAUUUCUGGGAUUUUAUGUGACUUGUAUCAUAAAUGGAGGGGACUAGAAACUUGUGUGGUCAAAUAAGUGUGUUGCAUGCAGCUUUUAGUCUAGUUAACAAAACAGAUCUAUAAAUUUCAUAAUUAAACUUUUGCAUUUAAUAUUUGUUAUGUUGACAUAUAUUUUUGUGUAUCUUAUCCAUUGUAGAAUUAUAUACAGCAGGUGAGCUAUGGAUAGAAAUUGGAUACAUAAUCUCGAUAGAACUAGCGUUGAAUAUUUGUCAGGUAUUGAGGAAUUGAUUAGAGUUGCAAGCAACCAAGUCAAUCAUUGAGGUCAUUCCAAGUGCCCUUACCAAAAGUGUAAUAAUUGCUCUUGGAGGCCAGUGAGUGAAAUACGACAAUACUUGAUCAUGCAUGGGAUGUCAUACAAUUACACUACACGGAAUCGUCAUGGAGAACGAUUGGGGACUGCGUCAGGUUCCUCUACGAAUAACUUGUUAUGCAACCCAAGACUGGCUGAUGACAUUGAUUGUGAUAAUGAUCAAGUAAUGCAAAUAAUCAAUAAUCUGUAUUCAUAUGCCUCGCACCAUCAUGAGCAAAAUGUUUUAGAGGAAGAUGAAGUAUUACUUGAGGAUGAUACAUUGGGAAAUAAUUAGACGUCGAAGAUGCAUAGGGAAGAGAUGGAUAAGUACGAAAGGUUGCUAAAAGAAGCACAAAAAGAACUUUACCCUGGUUGUAAAGAUUUCUCUACGUUGACAUCUAUUAUAGAGUUGAUGCAACUAGAAGUGAGGAAUUUGAUGACCAACAAAUGCUUUGAUGAGCUUAUGAGCAUCUUGAAAAGGAUGCUUCUGAACGAAAAUCAAUUACCUUCUACUCAUCGGCAUGCCCAUAAAAUUUUAAAAGAUCUCGGACUGGGCUAGGAAAAAAUCCAUGCAUGUAAAUAUGAUUGUGCACUAUUUUACAAGGAAAAUGAAGGGUUAGAUAAGUGCCCCAUUUGUAAUGAGCUAAUAUAUCAGAAUAGUUCUGAAGAUAAGAAUAAGAUUCCUCAAAAAGUAUUGAGUUAUUUUCCAAUAAAGCCAAGAUUACAGCGACUAUACAUGUUAAUGCAUACUGCCAAUGAUAUGAAAUGGCACAAGAAUGGGCGAGUUGAUGAUGGAGACAUGAGGCAUCCAGCACACACAAUUGCAUGGAAGGAAUUUGAUAAGAUGUAUCCUAAUUUUGCAGCAGAGUCACGAAACAUAAGAUUGGGCCUUGCAACUGAUGGUUUUAACCCAUUUGGGGAUAUGAACAAACCUUAUAGCAUGUGGCUUGUGGUGGUUGUUCCUUAUAACUUGCCUCCAUGGAUGUGCAUGAAAAAAGAAUUAACCAUGCUAACCUUAUUAAUUCCUGGUAGACAUGAACCUGGCAAGGACAUUGAUGUUUAUUUGCACCCUCUAAUCAAUGAAUUGAACGAAUUAUGGGAAAUUGGUGUGCGUACAUAUGAUAAAAGCACUGAUUCCAUGUUUAACUUACGUGUUGCUGCGUUGUGGACUAUUAAUGAUUUACUUGCUUAUGGAAAUUUAUCAGGUUGGAGUACGAAGGGUUAUAAUGCUUGCCCUGUUUGUAAUGAUGAUGGAACAUCUGAAUGGUUUAGUGACAUGGUUUGCUAUAUGAGGCAUCGACGAUGGUUGCCAUGGGAUCAUGUGUGGCGCAAGAGAAGGGAUUCCUUUGAUGGGAAAUCCGAAUUUCGUGCAAGACCUAGAAUUGCUUGGCAAGAAUGACAAAAAAUUAAAUUAUGUAGAAUUCACUAGUGAAACAUGGGCACCAAGAAAGCUUGUUGUGGUUUGUAGGCACAUGUAGAGUUAUCUAGAAAAAAUCAUAUGUAAGCUAUGAUCUAUAAAUAGGGCAUGAGUCUCUCAUUUGUAAGCAAGCAAAAGUCAUUGUCAUUUUAAUAAAGUUCCUUUUUCUUAUCCACUUUGUCUACUAACUUACUUUCUAUCAAAAUCUUCCAUACUACUAACUUCCAACAAAAAGCCAAUUACUUUCUACCUCCAAAAUUAUUCCAUACAAAACAUAUUAAACCAUCUAAUAUAAUCUCAUCACUACAAGAAAAACUAUCAAAAACCGAUAACGAUAGAAGAAGAACUAGGCUUGUGCUCAAUGUCGAGAGUUUGCAACUCUACGAAAAUUUUGUUUUGAUUUUUGAUUUGUUUAAAUGUCAAAACCCUAUAUAUUGUUGUAAAUUAUUCAUGAAUUCGCGUGAUUAGGGAUAAUUUGAUGUUUUUUGCCUGAAUUUUCUAUUUUAAGUUGUAAUAAUUUUCUAUUUUAAGUUGUAAUCAUGGGCUGAACUUAGUUUGGCUAAUUUUGACACAAAUUUUAAAUAAAUGUGUACAAAUUUUUGCGUUUAAGCGUGUGUAGUGGUCAACAAAAUGGGUUAGCCACAUUAUCAUGUGCAUACUACAUAUGUGAUGUAUUUUGAAAAUGCACCAUGCAUAUGAGGGCAUAUGCAAAGCACAUGCGCAUAUUUUAGAACACUGAUUUUGUUAGAUGAAGGAUGAAAACAAUCAAAUCAUUUUCUAACGUUAAUUCACCAGUUGAUAAAUUUACAACAGUUGUAUCAAAAUGGUUUUUACCCUUUUAUCUUAGCUAUAAGGAAGGUUGAAAUAUGGAGAAUUACAUGUAACUUAAACAUAGUCUAAUCCAAGGAGGGAGCAGAAAAUGUGCACAUCAGUUGGAAAUUACUAAUGCCCGGUUGGAGGAAUAUUGCAAGUCACCCCAGUAAAUGUGCAUAGGUUAGGAUCUUCAUGCACAAAGAUGGCCUUGGAAGAUGGAUAACAAUGAAAAAUAAUGACCAGUUCAGAUUUGAUCCAAGCUUAAUAGCAACCUCGACUCCUGCACAUAAUGAUUUAGCAGAGCAACUUCAACAAUGUGAUGAUCUUUGUGACUUAAUGCAUGCUUUUAUGUUUGCAACUUAAUUAGAGAUGUGUAAGUUUAUAUAUGAAUAUAGGAUCGAGGCUAUUGAUUAUUAUUGGAUCAUUCUUUCGAAUAAGGCAAAAAUCGACAAGAACUGGUAAUUGAUAAAUCGUUCAUAUAUCACAAAGGUAGUCAUAAUCCUAGUACUAUACCUCAUUGAAUGUUACUCUAAAAAUAUUCGUGCAUGCUCAACUUAGCUAAAUUAGUUAGUAAUUUGAAAAUCAAUCUUCGAA